RNAcentral lists this ribosomal RNA (256 nucleotides) under uncultured bacterium. Its description in RNAcentral is "partial 16S ribosomal RNA". It matches the Rfam family "Bacterial small subunit ribosomal RNA", at positions 524 to 776 of the family's 1533-position model. The record is from RNAcentral.
UACGUAGGGGGCAAGCGUUGUCCGGAAUCAUUGGGCGUAAAGAGCGCGUAGGCGGCCCUGUAAGUCCGCUGUGAAAGUCAAGGGCUCAACCCUUGAAUGCCGGUGGAUACUGCAGGGCUAGAGUCCGGAAGAGGCGAGUGGAAUUCCUGGUGUAGCGGUGAAAAUGCGUAGAGAUCAGGAAGAACACCGGUGGCGAAGGCGCUCGUGCUAGGCCGCCAACUGACACUGAGGGACGAAAGCUAGGGGAGCGAAUGGG